This 301-nucleotide ribosomal RNA is filed under the name uncultured bacterium. RNAcentral's name for it is "partial 16S ribosomal RNA". It matches the Rfam family "Bacterial small subunit ribosomal RNA", at positions 509 to 807 of the family's 1533-position model. The record is from RNAcentral.
CAGUAGCCGCGGGAAUACGAAGGGGGCUAGCGUUGUUCGGAAUUACUGGGCGUAAAGCGCACGUAGGCGGAUAUUUAAGUCAGGGGUGAAAUCCCAGAGCUCAACUCUGGAACUGCCUUUGAUACUGGGUAUCUUGAGUAUGGAAGAGGUGAGUGGAAUUCCGAGUGUAGAGGUGAAAUUCGUAGAUAUUCGGAGGAACACCGGUGGCGAAGGCGACUCUCUGGACUGUAACUGACGCUGAGGAGCGAAAGCGUGGGGAGCGAACAGGAUUAGAUACCCGUGUAGUCCCUGUCUCUUAUAC